RNAcentral lists this ribosomal RNA (445 nucleotides) under uncultured Rothia sp. RNAcentral's name for it is "bacterial SSU rRNA". It matches the Rfam family "Bacterial small subunit ribosomal RNA", at positions 338 to 795 of the family's 1533-position model. The record is from RNAcentral. Lineage: Bacteria; Bacillati; Actinomycetota; Actinomycetes; Micrococcales; Micrococcaceae.
CCUACGUGAGGCUGCAGUGGGGAAUAUUGCACAAUGGGCGCAAGCCUGAUGCAGCGACGCCGCGUGAGGGAUGACGGCCUUCGGGUUGUAAACCUCUGUUAGCAUCGAAGAAGCGAAAGUGACGGUAGGUGCAGAGAAAGCGCCGGCUAACUACGUGCCAGCAGCCGCGGUAAUACGUAGGGCGCGAGCGUUGUCCGGAAUUAUUGGGCGUAAAGAGCUUGUAGGCGGUUGGUCGCGUCUGCUGUGAAAGGCCGGGGCUUAACUCCGGUUUUGCAGUGGGUACGGGCUAACUAGAGUGCAGUAGGGGAGACUGGAAUUCCUGGUGUAGCGGUGGAAUGCACAGAUAUCAGGAGGAACACCGAUGGCGAAGGCAGGUCUCUGGGCUGUAACUGACGCUGAGAAGCGAAAGCAUGGGGAGCGAACAGGAUUAGAUACCCGUGUAGUC